Molecule: small nucleolar RNA, 121 nt
Filed under: Echinops telfairi (small Madagascar hedgehog)
Lineage: Eukaryota; Metazoa; Chordata; Mammalia; Afrosoricida; Tenrecidae
Description: Small nucleolar RNA SNORA61 (ENSETEG00000025507.1)
Source: RNAcentral
CCCCUCCAGAUUCCUUACCCUUCUGAUCUAAACAUUGGUCUGUGAGGCUUUAAAAGGAGGAAAAGAAAAACAGAAAUGGAGUUCUUUGGAGAUACAGCAGUUGGUUUCAAAUAAUAAAAGA